ACCAAAAAAAAACACAUCCCUCCCCAAUCCCUAGCUCCUCCCCUCGUCUCCACCCACAGCCGCCGCCGCCGCACGCCCGCAGCCCUCCUCCGCUCCGCUCUGACCAUCCAAAUGGUGCUCCUCCUCACGCCCACGCCGUCCUCCUCCUCAAGACAUCACCGUUUUCUCCCCUCCUCUGUGACCGGCCUGCGUGAUCCCAACGCGGGGGACGACAUUAACCAUGGAGCGGAGCCCUGUGGGACGAGGUGGAGAUUGGAGAAUGCCGCGGCGAUGAGGGGCACCACAUACGUGGUACCACCACGCACCAUGGUGGGGAUGAGAGGUGUUGUAGCCCUUCCAUCGAGCUCGACUCCGGCGGUCCACGCCGGCAACGACGAUAACAUGAUCCCUACCAGUGAUGAGCACGACGUGCUCCGGCCCAACCACCUCGACCUCCACAAGCCCCGUCGAGAUUCCUCAAAGAGGUUCUGCGGUACAGCCUAGGAAAUAAAAGGUGAGUCAAUUUGAAGCAUGACCACCACCAACGUGCUUUUUUCUUCUUUCUCUUUCUAAUAAUGUUGAUUGUAUCUAUAAGAUAUGUUAAUAGAUGCAUCGAAGUCUGAUUUGGGGAGGGAUUUCUUAAGCUGAAUGGAGAGGUCAAAUUGAGCUAUAAGCUGUUUUCUACUGUAUUUCUUUAGUUCCAAUUCAUUGGAUUUGAUAUUAAAGUUCUAUAGCCAAAUGAUAGUUCAGAUUGAGUACAUCUGCUACUCCACUUAUUUAAAAUCUACCAUAUUCUAUUAUUUAAACUAUUAACUAUUGACUAGAUGACGCAGAUGCUUUCCCCAUGGGAUAACUUGACAAUUUUUUAGAGAAGUGAUAAAAAACGUCAAGCUUGAAGAACAAAAGUUUGAGCAAAUAUUGGAAUGCUGACUUCAAAUGCCAUGUAGUUCAUAGUCUAUGUGCAAUGGCUCUUUAAUUUGACUGAAGCAAAUGUGAUCCCAGCGCGUCGACCUUGGAGACGACUGCGAUUGUUUGACGUCCUUCACAACUCACAACUGCUACGGUGCUUCCCGACUCCUUUUUGACUUUCGUCCCCAUGAGUUUUGUUGUUCUGCCGUGCUUGUCCUCUCAUUAUUUUGGAUGAAGUGCGUUGGUCAAUUUCUGUUGGAAGCAACAACAGCAAUAUCAAAAGAACUGAAGAUCUGUUACAAAUUAGUAUAUGUUUUUCUAUGGAUGUGUUUGCUAGACAGGCUUAGGCUGGAUAUUUUGCUUCGUGCUGAUUGGGCAAACGGCUAUCAACACCAAUGUUAGCACCAUCCAUCUUUCUAGCAGACUUCCAAGCACGCAAGUAUGAGAAUACCAUGGCCAAGGAUCAUAUGGUGAUGCACCGCGGCAGGGCCAUCGGGAUGAAAAAGAGGCUUUUUUCUUGCCCCACGUUGGCCACACCACUACCGCCUACUCGACAAUGAAAGCCGUUGGACCUUGUCUACUUACCAGAGCGGGUUAUAGUUUGAUAAUCAAAUAUCUAACUCUGUCAUGCAUCGGAGUGGAGUAUCACCGUGGCAAGAGACUUCAGAAAUACCACUGCAAUGCAUGGGAGUGGAUCCUCACCAUGGGAAACCAUCCCGCCACCGCUAGGGAGCUCUUGGUUGCACCACAAGCUGCAAUGCCUUGUCGCUUGUGUCACUUAAGCGCUAUGGCCUCUCGCUGCUCAAAAUUGAUAGUUUGGUGCAGUGUCAUUCUUUGUCCCUUGCGCUCAUGAGGGGAGAGAAAGGGAGAGCAGAGAGGAGUGUGGACGCAGUGCUAACUGGUAGAUACGGUCUGUGUGUAAGGCGGCAGUGAUCUGCUGGUAUGAUUCUCGGUGAGCCAAGGUAACAGAUAGCCGUUCCAUCCCUUCUGGCGCCCUGUGGAGCCUGGCCAGAGUUUCCGUCAAAGCUAGGUAGGAAAGUAAGCUUUUCUGUCUUAGUUGCCGAGCAAGCUACAGUUAUCUUUCUUUGAAAAGCUACGCUUUGUUGCAUUGCCACAUGUCACAUGUAGGUUGCUUAUGAUAUGCCCCAAUAGUGGAGAGUAUUUAUCAUAAAACUAUCACACUACAGGUUUCAUCGGUCCCACAGAACUACCGGUUUAAAAAACGUCAAAAAAACCAGAUUAUGCUAAUUUUUUGCCUAAAAACUACCACUUGCGUUAGAUGACCAUUUUGCUGGUUUUAAACGUGUUAUGACAUGUGGGACCCACUUGUCAGGGCUGAUGCGGCAGCAAAGUGAACUCCGUUUAUUCGGACUGUUAUAUUUGCCGUUAUUACCUUCUUCUUCCUCCUCUUUCUUUCCUAGGCAUUUCAACCAACACCUCGUCUUCGUGCCCCACGACAAGCACUGUUGUGGUCCAUGUCGUUCACCUGGAGGCUGUUGUAGUCGAGGAUGACGCCUGACUAGGCCCCGUGCGGUGCAUGGGCUUGUCGUCUUUGGUGGUGCUGUCGAGGACGCGAAGCUCGCCACUGGUCAUGAGCGCGAGCGACAACGAGGCUGCCUCGACCGCGUUCAACCAUCGGACGCUCAUCGACCAUGUGUACUUUCUCGGGGAAGGAGUAGCAGGUGGCAAGGAGAUAGAUGUCGCUUUGUCUUUGAGAGUGGUUAAGGAGACGAUGACUACCGGACGAAAGAAGAGCCCACGGAUCGACACGAACAUGGCGAGGGGAUUGGGGCGGAGAGCGGGGUGGUUGGCGGGAGACUCCUCCUUGCCACUCCAUGGGGAAGUACGAUGUGAAGCGAGAGGGUGCCGUGGCGAAGCUGAGGUGGGCGGUCUCUGGUUUAAAGGAGAGGACUCCAACAAGAAAUGUUUCACUACGGCAUGAAACCGAGAGGGAAGGGGAGGGUCCGUCAGGAAAAGAGAAAUGUGUGUCAUGAUUUAUUUUUCUUCUCUCUUUUGGGAUCGUGUGUUGUGGAUAACAUGAUAGAUACUCCGGGCAAUCACAUUUUCCCCUCACAUAUGGGUUGGAUUUGGGGGAGUUCGAACUGUCCAGUCAGCUGAAUUUUGGGGAGCCUGUUGGGCACCCGUUUGAUGUCCAAACACGUCCAGACGUAUGAGGGAGAAAUGAGCGUCGACCUUGGAGACGACAUUACUGCAUUGUAGCUCGUAGCAACUAUUUAAUGGCUCUUUCUAAAAAGUUUCCAUUUUAGUUUACUGAAUAUGUUUUCUUGCUUGAGU
Long non-coding RNA from Triticum dicoccoides, 3183 nucleotides. RefSeq lists it as uncharacterized. The transcript has 6 exons. The record is from RefSeq and is a predicted model, not a curated record. Lineage: Eukaryota; Viridiplantae; Streptophyta; Magnoliopsida; Poales; Poaceae.